GUUCGUCUUCAGGGGCAGGGUGAAAUUCCCGACCGGCGGUGAUAGUCCGUGAACCGUGCAUGUGCACGGCCGACUUGGUGGAAAUCCGAGACCGAUAGUAUAGUCUAGAUAAACGAAGAUGGGG
This 124-nucleotide non-coding RNA is filed under the name Lacticaseibacillus camelliae. RNAcentral's name for it is "Lactobacillus camelliae FMN sequence". It matches the Rfam family "FMN riboswitch aptamer (RFN element)". Rfam says of the family: The RFN element is a highly conserved domain that is found frequently in the 5'-untranslated regions of prokaryotic mRNAs that encode for flavin mononucleotide (FMN) biosynthesis and transport proteins. This element is a metabolite-dependent riboswitch that directly binds FMN in the absence of proteins. The record is from RNAcentral. RNAcentral also lists the same sequence under 1 other name. Lineage: Bacteria; Bacillati; Bacillota; Bacilli; Lactobacillales; Lactobacillaceae.